GCGCACCAGUCGCGAAUAGUCUACAAUGGACGAAAGUCUGAUAGUGCGACGCCGUGUGUGCGAUUAAUUCCUUCGGGAUGUAAAGCACUUUUCUAUGAGAUAAAAGCUCUUUAGGUUAAUAGCUUAUUGAGACGGAUAUUAUUAUAGGAAUAAGCUCCGGCUAACUCCGUGCCAGCAGCCGCGGUAAUACGGAAGGAGCGAGCGUUGUCCGGAUUUACUAGGCGUAAAGGGCUAGUAGGCGACUAAUUAAGUUAUAUGUUAAAUCCCACGGCUCAACUGUGGUCCUGCAUGUAAUACUGGUUAGAUAGAGUACUGUAGAGGAAGGCAGAAUUCCUGGAGUAGCGGUGGAAUGCGCAGAUAUCAGGAAGAAUACCAAAAGCGAAGGCAGCCUUCUGGGCAGUUACUGACGCUGAAUAGCGAAGGUGUGGGUAGCGAACAGGAUUAGA
Molecule: ribosomal RNA, 446 nt
Filed under: uncultured microorganism
Description: bacterial SSU rRNA
Rfam family: Bacterial small subunit ribosomal RNA
Source: RNAcentral